UGCGGAAGGAUCAUUAAUGAGUUGUGAUUGGGUUUGAUGCUGGCAUCCAAAUUUCUUUUGGAUGCAUGUGCUUGCCCUAACAAUCAUCUUCCAAAACACCCGUGCACAUUUUUUUUGAAGGGGCUUCGAGCUGAUUGCCACUUCCUGGUGGAUCUGCUUUUCCCUUUCGAAUCAUUAUACGCCAUUGACAAAUGCCGAACGUGUGUUGCGCCGCAAGGCCAUUAAAUAUAAUACAACUUUUAACAACGGAUCUCUUGGCUCUCGCAUCGAUGAAGAACGCAGCGAAAUGCGAUAAGUAAUGUGAAUUGCAGAAUUCAGUGAAUCAUCGAAUCUUUGAACGCACCUUGCGCUCCCUGGUAUUCCGGGGAGCACGCCUGUUCGAGUGUCACGAAAUUUCUCAAGCAUGGAUGGCUUUUUUGUCUGUCCUUAGCCUUGGUGUUUGGGCUUUGCCGUGUCCUUCAUUGGGAUGGCUGGCCUUAAAAGCAUUAGCUGAUCCUUGUGUAGUAGCCGGUUCUACUCAGCGUGAUAAUGGCAUGAUCGCUGAGGACAUCUUUUGGGAUGGCCGGCCCUCAUUUGGGUUGCUUCUAAACUUGGUGUUGCGGAUUUUCUCAGUCUGCGCCUCCACUGUUUCAGCUUUGACCUCGAAUCAGGUGGGACUACCCGCUGAACUUAAGCAUAUCAAUAAGCGGAGGAAAAGAAACUAACAAGGAUUCCCCUAGUAACGGCGAGUGAAGAGGGAAGAGCUCAAAUUUAAAAUCUGGUAAU
Molecule: ribosomal RNA, 765 nt
Filed under: Clavulina sp.
Lineage: Eukaryota; Fungi; Basidiomycota; Agaricomycetes; Cantharellales; Hydnaceae
Description: eukaryotic LSU rRNA
Rfam family: 5.8S ribosomal RNA (bases 235-388)
Source: RNAcentral